This 356-nucleotide transfer-messenger RNA is filed under the name Manganibacter manganicus. RNAcentral's name for it is "Pseudaminobacter manganicus Alphaproteobacteria transfer-messenger RNA". It matches the Rfam family "Alphaproteobacteria transfer-messenger RNA". Rfam says of the family: Bacterial tmRNA, also known as 10Sa RNA or SsrA, is named for its dual tRNA and mRNA-like properties. Its role is to liberate the mRNA from a stalled ribosome. Lineage: Bacteria; Pseudomonadati; Pseudomonadota; Alphaproteobacteria; Hyphomicrobiales; Phyllobacteriaceae. The record is from Rfam by way of RNAcentral.
GGUCUUCCAUUUUCAGGAGCGUGCUCUUAUAUUCGUCUCGUCGGCUUGACCGACUAUGGCGAUAAACAGACGAUGAAAUAAGCCGUUCGGACCCGGGGGCGGUACCCGGCGCCUCCACCAAAAGCCGCAGCGAUGCUGCGAUUUCUGAUGGGGGCGAAAUAGGAUCGACGAAGGUGUAAAGAUCGUACUUUUGCCCGGCAUUGUACCACCGUUAUCGGGCUAAACUUGUAGUUGCAAACGACAACUAUGCGGAAGCACGUCUCGCAGCGUAAGCUGUGCGAUCGCUUCAAAUUAAGCCCUAGUGGUUCGCACUUCUAGGCGGGGUCCGGAGGCACCUGGCAACAGAAGCCUCCACU